This 1590-nucleotide ribosomal RNA is filed under the name Triticum aestivum (bread wheat). RNAcentral describes it as "partial small subunit ribosomal RNA". The record is from RNAcentral. Lineage: Eukaryota; Viridiplantae; Streptophyta; Magnoliopsida; Poales; Poaceae.
AUGGAUCGGCUGUUCUUAGUGGCAAUGGGGCUAUUGCCCGUGCUAGCCUUCAUCGUCCUUAUGUUCAUGCCCAAGCCCAAGAGCAAGAUCACCUGCGUUGGUGCCACGCAGCUCCCUCCGGGCAGUGCAUUCUCCUGGCCCCUUGUGGGCAACCUGCCGGAGAUGAUGCUCAACAAGCCAGCAUUCCGAUGGAUCCACUCGAUGAUGAAGGACAUGGACACCGACAUCGCCUGCAUCCGCCUCGGUAGCGUCCUCGUGGUCCCGAUCACAUGCCCGAAGAUCGCCCGCGAGGUACUCAAGAAGCAGGAUGCCAACUUCGCCUCCCGCCCACUCACCUUCGCCUCGUCGACCUUUAGCGGCGGGUACAAGAACGCCGUGCUGUCCCCCAUGGGCGACCAGUGGAGGAAGAUGCGUCGCGUGCUCACCUCGGAAAUCAUCUGCCCCUCCCGGCACCAGUGGCUCCACGACCAGCGUGCCCAAGAGGCCGACAACCUCACAAGCUACGUCUACACGCUCGCCACCGCGCCGUCCUCGGCCGUCGAUGUGAGGCAUGUGGCGAGGCAUUACUGUGGUAAUGUCAUCCGGCGGCUCGUAUUUGGCAGGCGCUACUUCGGCGAGCCUCGUCAGGAUGGCGGCCCGGGUGCAAUGGAGGUGGAGCACAUGGACGCUGUGUUCACGUCGCUAGGGCUCCUCUACACGUUCUGCGUCUCCGACUACCUACCGUGGCUGCGCGGCCUCGGCCUCGACCUCGACGGACACAAGAAGAUUGUGAUGGAGGCCAAUGCGACGGUCAACCGGCUGCACGACACGGUCAUUGACGAGAGGUGGCGGCAAUGGAAGUCCGGCCAGAUGGAGGAGCUCGAGGAUUUCCUCGAUGUACUCAUCACGCUCAAGGACGCAGAGGGGAACCCUCUUCUCACCAUCGAGGAGGUGAAAGCACAGUCGCUGGACAUAAUAUUUGCCGCCAUGGACAACCCAUCCAACGCGGUGGAGUGGGCGCUCGCAGAUAUGACAAACAUGCCCGAGGUGAUGCGGAAGGCGGUGGAGGAAAUCGACCGGGUGGUGGGCCGAGAGCGGUUGGUGCAGGAGUCGGACAUCCCACGCCUCACCUACGUCAAGGCAUGCAUUCGUGAGGCAUUCCGGCUGCACCCCGUCGCGCCCUUCAACGUGCCACACGUCGCGCUCGCUGACAGCAACAUCGCCGGCUACCGUGUCCCCAAGGGCAGCCAUGUCUUACUCAGCCGUAGGGGACUUGGCCGGAACCCGGCUGUCUGGGACGAGCCGCUACACUUCAAGCCAGAGCGUCAUAUUAAUACCGCAGCCCACAACGACGUCGCCCUCACAGAGAAUGAGUUGCGGUUCAUCUCCUUCAGCACCGGCCGCCGUGUGUGUGUGGCGGCAUCGCUUGGCACAACCAUGUGUGUAAUGCUCUUCGGACGGCUACUGCAGGGAUUCACAUGGACCAAGCCAGCGGGUGUAGCAUCUAUCGAUCUCAGUGAGUCGGAGCACGAUUUAUUCCUAGCCAAACCGCUUGUGCUGCACGCCGAACCACGCCUGAUGGGACAUGUCUACCCCGGUGGCCAAUGUUGA